RNAcentral lists this ribosomal RNA (1171 nucleotides) under 'Solanum melongena' phytoplasma. RNAcentral's name for it is "bacterial SSU rRNA". It matches the Rfam family "Bacterial small subunit ribosomal RNA", at positions 173 to 1361 of the family's 1533-position model. Lineage: Bacteria; Bacillati; Mycoplasmatota; Mollicutes; Acholeplasmatales; Acholeplasmataceae. The record is from RNAcentral.
GCAUCUUUUUAUUUUUAAAAGACCUAGCAAUAGGUAUGCUUAGGGAAGAGCUUGCGUCACAUUAGUUAGUUGGUGGGGUAAUGGCCUACCAAGACGAUGAUGUGUAGCCGGGCUGAGAGGUCGAACGGCCACAUUGGGACUGAGACACGGCCCAAACUCCUACGGGAGGCAGCAGUAAGGAAUUUUCGGCAAUGGAGGAAACUCUGACCGAGCAAUGCCGCGUGAACGAUGAAGUAUUUCGGUACGUAAAGUUCUUUUAUUAGGGAAGAAAAGAUGGUGGAAAAACCAUUAUGACGGUACCUAAUGAAUAAGCCCCGGCUAACUAUGUGCCAGCAGCCGCGGUAAUACAUAGGGGGCAAGCGUUAUCCGGAAUUAUUGGGCGUAAAGGGUGCGUAGGCGGUUAAAUAAGUUUAUGGUCUAAGUGCAACGCUCAACGUUGUGAUGCUAUAAAAACUGUUUAGCUAGAGUUGGAUAGAGGCAAGUGGAAUUCCGUGUGUAGUGGUAAAAUGCGUAAAUAUACGGAGGAACACCAGAAGCGAAGGCGGCUUGCUGGGUCUUAACUGACGCUGAGGCACGAAAGCGUGGGGAGCAAACAGGAUUAGAUACCCUGGUAGUCCACGCCCUAAACGAUGAGUACUAAACGUUGGAUAAAACCAGUGUUGAAGUUAACACAUUAAGUACUCCGCCUGAGUAGUACGUACGCAAGUAUGAAACUUAAAGGAAUUGACGGGACUCCGCACAAGCGGUGGAUCAUGUUGUUUAAUUCGAAGGUACCCGAAAAACCUCACCAGGUCUUGACAUGCUUUUGCAAAGCUGUAGAAAUACAGUGGAGGUUAUCAGAAGCACAGGUGGUGCAUGGUUGUCGUCAGCUCGUGUCGUGAGAUGUUGGGUUAAGUCCCGCAACGAGCGCAACCCUUGUUGUUAAUUGCCAUCAUUAAGUUGGGGACUUUAGCAAGACUGCCAAUGAUAAAUUGGAGGAAGGUGGGGACGACGUCAAAUCAUCAUGCCCCUUAUGACCUGGGCUACAAACGUGAUACAAUGGCUGUUACAAAGGGUAGCUAAAGCGUAAGCUUCUGGCGAAUCUCAAAAAAGCAGUCUCAGUUCGGAUUGAAGUCUGCAACUCGACUUCAUGAAGUUGGAAUCGCUAGUAAUCGCGAAUCAGCAUGUCGCG